This 399-nucleotide long non-coding RNA is filed under the name Ananas comosus (pineapple). RNAcentral's name for it is "long non-coding RNA (ACOM_LNC028528)". The record is from RNAcentral. Lineage: Eukaryota; Viridiplantae; Streptophyta; Magnoliopsida; Poales; Bromeliaceae.
CCCUCGCCUACACUCUCGAUUGCUGGCUCGCUCGCCCCCUCGCCUACUUCUCAGGUUUGAUUCUUUCUUUUUCUUUUUUUUUUUAAUUUCUUGCAUAUAUUAGUUUUAAUCAAUUUUAUUUUUUUGUAGCUUGCAUCGAAAGAAAAGGAUGGUGCUACAUAUACUACAAAAGGCCAAGAAGAGACAGAUAGCUCAAGUGACUCUGUAUGAAGAUAAACUUGUAACAUGCGUAAAGAAUGGCUGAACUAGGCUUUUUGUUUGUAGUAUGUAUUUUGCUAGUAAUAACUCUGAAAUGAUACUUAUUAUCCGGAUAGUUUAACUUGUAGAAUGUUCAAGUAAUUUGGAUGAUUUAACUAAUUUGGUGAGUUGCUCUGUAUGGUUAAAUUUGAUAUAUCAUUU